GAUGAAGAACGCAGCGAAAUGCGAUAAGUAAUGCGAAUUGCAGAAUUUCCGUGAGUCAUCGAAUCUUUGAACGCACAUUGCGCCCACUGGUAUUCCGGUGGGCAUGCCUGUUCGAGCGUCAUUAUCCUCCCUCAAACCCCGGGUUUGGUGUUGGACCCAAGUUGUGUGAACAACUGGUCUUAAAGACAAUGACGGCGUCCGUGGGACCCUCGGUGCAACGAGCUUUUAGGAGCACGCAUCGAGUUGCAAGGACCUUCCGGGCCGGUCUCCUUUACCAUUUUACAAGGUUGACCUCGGAUCAGGUAGGAAUACCCGCUGAACUUAAGCAUAUCAAUAAGCGGAGGA
RNAcentral lists this unclassified non-coding RNA (345 nucleotides) under soil metagenome. RNAcentral's name for it is "partial contains 5.8S ribosomal RNA, internal transcribed spacer 2, and large subunit ribosomal RNA". The stretch from base 1 to 121 matches the Rfam family "5.8S ribosomal RNA", at positions 35 to 154 of the family's 154-position model. The record is from RNAcentral.